AGGGGUAUUGCUCAGUGGUAGAGUGCAUGCUUAGCAUGCAUGAGGUCCUGAGUUCAUUUCCCAGUACCUCCC
This 72-nucleotide transfer RNA is filed under the name Camelus bactrianus (Bactrian camel). It matches the Rfam family "tRNA". From Rfam's summary of the family: Transfer RNA (tRNA) molecules are approximately 80 nucleotides in length. Their secondary structure includes four short double-helical elements and three loops (D, anti-codon, and T loops). Lineage: Eukaryota; Metazoa; Chordata; Mammalia; Artiodactyla; Camelidae. RNAcentral also lists the same sequence under 3 other names. The record is from Rfam by way of RNAcentral.